UUUGCAGAAGUCUCUUACAGCCGGGUCCCAAAGGUAGAGCUUCAUCACAGGCCCACUGCAAAAUAUUUUACUGAAUGGUUAAUAUAAGUAUACAGAUAAAGUGUUUAAGAAAUAAUAAAAAACUUACUCGUAUGACUGCACAUGAACCAACACAUGUCUCGCCCUAGCUAUCUCCACUUCAUCAAGAACUGGGGUCCCAAUGAGACAUUGUCCAUUAACCACCUUCAUGUGCCCAACAACAUCUAUACCAUUGUUCAUCAAGCGUGUAAGUAAGAAGACUACGCAAUAGCAUUCUACUAUUUCAUGACCAGACAAAACUGAAACACACAUAGAACUCAAGCAUCCUAAUCAAACUAUACUACAAUAGAACCCUCAAAAAAAAAAAAAACAAAACCCGAGUGUUGUAAAAAAAUCCUCCCUAAGGCUAUAAACACAAUUAGUGAAUCUCAUUUGUCAUGUUAUGUUCUGAAAGAGUGAUCGCAGAGACUGAUAAAGACAACGAUUCCAGAGAAUGCUUAUCACAAACCUACAAUACAUUUUAACCAAAUUUCGAGAUCAACCGUGAAAGUAAGAAGAGUGUGCAAUAAGUAAUCUACUUUCUCAUGAGCAAACAAAACCAAACACGCAUAGUACUGAAGCAGCUA
RNAcentral lists this long non-coding RNA (644 nucleotides) under Brassica napus (rape). RNAcentral describes it as "long non-coding RNA (BNAP_LNC006974)". The record is from RNAcentral. Lineage: Eukaryota; Viridiplantae; Streptophyta; Magnoliopsida; Brassicales; Brassicaceae.